GGAAAAUUAUACAAAUUGAACGCUAUUUAUUAGCAUAUGACUCUUUAAAUGCCACUUCUGGUUGAGGAAUACUUCAAGUACUAGCAUUUUUGUGUAUUUUGUUAUAGUGGGAUAGCAUUAACAUUAUAAUAGCAUAGUGAACAUCAGUGCGUAGUUAUAUUUUGCUGUUAUUAAACGUGCAACAUUAUACACCUAACCAUAUUUCAGGAAGAUAUUGGCCGGUUUAGAAACACCUAACUACUCAAGUGAUUACUUGUUGACCACUCUUUUAAGAUUUAACAUUGUUUUUAACAUUGUUAAUAACUAGUAGAGUGGUUACUUAUUAAUCCCGACUGCCUCUUGUUGCUGAAUACCCUAGCUCCGACCGUUUCAACUGUUUAUCUUGGGGGAGAAACGGUUCUUCUUCUGAAGGUUUUUCUCUUGGUCUCGUUGCUGGUGGAUUAUUCGAUGGAAACAUUGAUAUCUGGAAUCCUCUCACUCUGAUUCGCUCGGAGGAAAAUGAAAGUUCUCUCGUUGGACACCUUGUAAUGCAUAAGGGACCAGUUUGUGAACUUGAGUUUAAUACAAUUGAACCCAAUCUUCUUGCAUCUGGGGCUGAGGAUGGUGAAAUUUGCAUAUGGGAUUUGGCCAAUCCUUCAGAGCCUACACAUUUUCCACCAUUAAAGGGUAGUGGCUCUGCUUCCCACGGGGAAGUUUCAUUCUUAUCUUGGAAUAGUGAAGUGCAACACAUAUUAGCAUACACUUCAUAUAAUGGGACCACUAGUGAGGAAGCGAUUAAAUUCAACCUUUAUAUUUUGUUCUCAUUGUUGUAUUGUUCAUUGGGAUGAUAAUGUUUUUGUUUAUUUUUUAAAAUAUGGUUUUAGUCUCCGGUGGUUUGGGACCUGAAGAAGCAAAUGCCAGUAAUAAGAUAACUCGAUCAUCUGUUGCCUUUUGGUUUUGAAAACACCUGAUAUUAUAUUGCCAAAAAGAACUCACUGUAACCUUGUAUAUCCUAUUUGAACCGACAGCUUUUCAGACUCUGUUAGACGGCGGUGCUCAGCUUUGUAGUUGAAUCCUGAUGUUGCUACACAACUUGUUUCAUCAGAUGAAGAUGGAUAUCCUUCUAUAAGGGUAUAGUCUCUGCGGAUUGUCCGUUUAUUUUAAAGGUAAUGUGUCGGUGUAUUCACUUUAUAUGACCAUGUUGGUGCAGCUUUGGAAUAUGAUAUGAGGAAUAUAAUGACACCGAUAAAGGAGUUUGUGUGGCACACUAGAGGUAAAGUCAGCCAUUCAUUUAUUUAUGAUUUAUUGUAUUAUGUGUCUGCCUAGUUGACAUUAUCUAUGCUACCUUUUCUUUUUGUUAUAUUCUUAUUCCGCUCCACGAAUCCAUUGAAAAAACAUAUGGGAAACAAACGAGUAAUU
Molecule: long non-coding RNA, 1398 nt
Organism: Trifolium pratense (red clover)
Lineage: Eukaryota; Viridiplantae; Streptophyta; Magnoliopsida; Fabales; Fabaceae
Exons: 5
Source: RefSeq, a predicted model, not a curated record